RNAcentral lists this ribosomal RNA (429 nucleotides) under Verrucomicrobiota bacterium. Its description in RNAcentral is "Verrucomicrobia bacterium partial 16S ribosomal RNA". It matches the Rfam family "Bacterial small subunit ribosomal RNA", at positions 355 to 776 of the family's 1533-position model. The record is from RNAcentral. Lineage: Bacteria; Pseudomonadati; Verrucomicrobiota.
UAGGGAAUCUUCCGCAAUGGACGAAAGUCUGACGGAGCAACGCCGCGUGAGUGAAGAAGGAUUUCGGUUCGUAAAACUCUGUUGUUAGGGAAGAAAAAAUGUAUAGUAACUAUAUACAAAAGAGACGGUACCUAACCAGAAAGCCACGGCUAACUACGUGCCAGCAGCCGCGGUAAUACGUAGGUGGCAAGCGUUGUUCGGAAUUAUUGGGCGUAAAGCGCGCGCAGGUGGUUUAGAAAGUCUGAUGUGAAAGCCCACGGCUCAACCGUGGGGGGUCAUUGGAAACUAAUAAACUUGAGUGCAGGAGAGAAAAGUGGAAUUCCUAGUGUAGCGGUGAAAUGCGUAGAGAUUAGGAGGAACACCGGUGGCGAAAGCGGCUUUUUGGCCUGCAACUGAAACUGAGGCGCGAAAGCGUGGGGAGCAAACAGG